AACGAACGCUGGCGGCGUGGAUAAGACAUGCAAGUCGAACGGGAACUUCAGCUGUAGCAAUACAGUUGAAGUUUUAGUGGCGAACGGGUGCGUAACACGUGGGCAAUCUGCCGAGAAGUGGGGGAUAGCUCGCCGAAAGGCGAAUUAAUACCGCAUAUGAUCAGCUAAGACAUCUUAGCGACAUCAAAGCCGGGGCAACCUGGCGCUUUUUGAGGAGCCCGCGGCCUAUCAGCUAGUUGGUGAGGUAACGGCUCACCAAGGCUAUGACGGGUAGCUGGUCUGAGAGGACGACCAGUCACACUGGAACUGAGACACGGUCCAGACACCUACGGGUGGCAGCAGUCGAGAAUUUUUCUCAAUGGGCGAAAGCCUGAAGG
Molecule: ribosomal RNA, 377 nt
Filed under: uncultured bacterium
Lineage: Bacteria
Description: bacterial SSU rRNA
Rfam family: Bacterial small subunit ribosomal RNA
Source: RNAcentral